Molecule: ribosomal RNA, 234 nt
Filed under: uncultured bacterium
Lineage: Bacteria
Description: partial 16S ribosomal RNA
Rfam family: Bacterial small subunit ribosomal RNA
Source: RNAcentral
GAUCCUGGCUCAGGAUGAACGCUAGCUACAGGCUUAACACAUGCAAGUCGAGGGGGCAGCAUGGUCUUAGCUUGCUAAGGCCGAUGGCGACCGGCGCACGGGUGAGUAACGCGUAUCCAACCUGCCUUACACUCUUGGACAGCCUUCUGAAAGGGAGAUUAAUACAAGAUGUUAUCAUGAGUAAGCAUUUUCGCAUGAUUAAAGGUUACCGGUGUAAGAUGGGGAGUGCGUUCC